CUCACCCUGGAGAUCGUCUACCUGCUGACCGGAGAGAAUUACUCACUGGUGAAGACUUCGUCUCUCGAGAGGGACAUUUAUCCCCCUGUGUCUAGAAAAUGGAGCAGGAACCAAAGCCCCAUCACAGCUCUUCCACCUCCCUCCCUGACACCCGAGAGGAAUGAUGACAAGAAGAUUCUAGAAGUCACCCAGAAGAUCAUUGAGCUGCUGACAGGAGAGGUUCCUAUAAGGUGU
This is a long non-coding RNA of Nanorana parkeri, 234 nucleotides long. RefSeq lists it as uncharacterized. Lineage: Eukaryota; Metazoa; Chordata; Amphibia; Anura; Dicroglossidae. The transcript has 3 exons. The record is from RefSeq and is a predicted model, not a curated record.